AGCGAACGCUGGCGGCAGGCUUAACACAUGCAAGUCGAACGGGCAUCUUCGGAUGUCAGUGGCAGACGGGUGAGUAACACGUGGGAACGUACCCUUCGGUUCGGAAUAACUCAGGGAAACUUGAGCUAGUACCGGAUACGCCCUUUUGGGGAAAGGUUUACUGCCGAAGGAUCGGCCCGCGUCUGAUUAGCUUGUUGGUGGGGUAACGGCCUACCAAGGCGACGAUCAGUAGCUGGUCUGAGAGGAUGAUCAGCCACACUGGGACUGAGACACGGCCCAGACUCCUACGGGAGGCAGCAGUGGGGAAUAUUGGACAAUGGGCGCAAGCCUGAUCCAGCCAUGCCGCGUGAGUGAUGAAGGCCUUAGGGUUGUAAAGCUCUUUUGUCCGGGACGAUAAUGACGGUACCGGAAGAAUAAGCCCCGGCUAACUUCGUG
This 435-nucleotide ribosomal RNA is filed under the name uncultured bacterium. RNAcentral describes it as "partial 16S ribosomal RNA". It matches the Rfam family "Bacterial small subunit ribosomal RNA", at positions 29 to 507 of the family's 1533-position model. The record is from RNAcentral.